This 426-nucleotide ribosomal RNA is filed under the name uncultured Pseudomonadaceae bacterium. RNAcentral describes it as "bacterial SSU rRNA". It matches the Rfam family "Bacterial small subunit ribosomal RNA", at positions 356 to 774 of the family's 1533-position model. The record is from RNAcentral. Lineage: Bacteria; Pseudomonadati; Pseudomonadota; Gammaproteobacteria; Pseudomonadales; Pseudomonadaceae.
GGGGAAUAUUGGACAAUGGGCGAAAGCCUGAUCCAGCCAUGCCGCGUGUGUGAAGAAGGUCUUCGGAUUGUAAAGCACUUUAAGUUGGGAGGAAGGGUUGUAGAUUAAUACUCUGCAAUUUUGACGUUACCGACAGAAUAAGCACCGGCUAACUUCGUGCCAGCAGCCGCGGUAAUACGGAGGGUGCAAGCGUUAAUCGGAAUUACUGGGCGUAAAGCGCACGCAGGCGGUCUGUCAAGUCGGAUGUGAAAUCCCCGGGCUCAACCUGGGAACUGCAUUCGAAACUGGCAGGCUUGAGUCUCGUAGAGGGGGGUGGAAUUUCCUGUGUAGCGGUGAAAUGCGUAGAUAUAGGAAGGAACACCAGUGGCGAAGGCGACCACCUGGACUGAUACUGACACUGAGGUGCGAAAGCGUGGGGAGCAAACA